Ricinus communis (castor bean) is the source of this 623-nucleotide long non-coding RNA. RefSeq lists it as uncharacterized. The transcript has 2 exons. Lineage: Eukaryota; Viridiplantae; Streptophyta; Magnoliopsida; Malpighiales; Euphorbiaceae. The record is from RefSeq and is a predicted model, not a curated record.
GUUUGAGUUGGGGUGUUACACUUUGGCAGGUUCUGGACCCCUUUUACAGGGGGUAAAUGUUCGUAAUGUAGGAGAAGUUCUACUGAAUUUUCGACAAAUUUCUUGAGUCUAAAUUAAUUUUAGGUAGUCUAAUCUAAGGGUCUAGGCCUAGAAAAAAAAUUUAAGAAUAUCUAUUAAUUGAGUGUUUUCAUAGAUAGAUAAUCCAUCCUUCCCGCCAGCUCCACCUGAGGCAUAGGAGCAGACUGAGAGACCUGUAACAAUCAACACCAAGAGAUGAAUGAGCCAAAUUGAUAUUUGAAUUGAGCUCCUUCUUAUCCGCCGAACCAGCCAAUCUUAGGCUUAACCGAUAGCUUUCUUCAUGCUACCAGGGUAGGUCAGUUUCUUCCUUAAUCCGUAACGUAACGACUGAGGAGCGCGUCAGAAAUGUGACAGUUAGAAUUCUUCGCCAUCAUGCAUUAUGACAGUCCGAUUUCUUUCUUCAUCGGGCUCGUUGUAAAUAAUCUGUACUUUUAUAUUUUUAGUUAUUUCAUACUCUAGAUCUUGCGCAGUAAAGUACUUUUAAUUUGUUAUGAUUAUUCUAGUCCAUGAUAGACGUGAGAUAUUAUAAAGACCAGUUAGAAUUA